CUACGGGUCGCUGCAGUGAGGAAUUUUGCGCAAUGGGGGGAACCCUGACGCAGCAACGCCGUGUGAGUGAAGAAGGCCUUUGGGUCGUAAAGCUCUGUCAACUGGGAAGAAGUUACUAUGCUUAAAUAGAGUGUAGUAUUGACGGUACCAGUGGAGGAAGCGUCGGGUAACUCCGUGCCAGCAGCCGCGGUAACACGGGGGACGCAAGCGUUAUUCGGAAUUUUGGGCGUAAAGGGCGCGUAGGCGGUCUUGUCGGUCAGGUGUGAAAGCCCGGGGCUCAACCCCGGACGUGCACUUGAAACAGCAAGACUUGAGUACGGGAGAGGAAAGCGGAAUUCCUGGUGUAGAGGUGAAAUUCGUAGAUAUCAGGAGGAACACCGAUGGCGAAGGCAGCUUUCUGGACCGAAACUGACGCUGAGGCGCGAAGGCGUGGGUAGCGAACGGGAUUAGAUACCCGAGUAGUC
Molecule: ribosomal RNA, 464 nt
Filed under: uncultured bacterium
Lineage: Bacteria
Description: partial 16S ribosomal RNA
Rfam family: Bacterial small subunit ribosomal RNA
Source: RNAcentral